RNAcentral lists this ribosomal RNA (339 nucleotides) under uncultured Streptococcus sp. RNAcentral describes it as "bacterial SSU rRNA". It matches the Rfam family "Bacterial small subunit ribosomal RNA", at positions 1041 to 1382 of the family's 1533-position model. Lineage: Bacteria; Bacillati; Bacillota; Bacilli; Lactobacillales; Streptococcaceae. The record is from RNAcentral.
GUGCAUGGUUGUCGUCAGCUCGUGUCGUGAGAUGUUGGGUUAAGUCCCGCAACGAGCGCAACCCCUAUUGUUAGUUGCCAUCAUUCAGUUGGGCACUCUAGCGAGACUGCCGGUAAUAAACCGGAGGAAGUGGGGAUGACGUCAAAUCAUCAUGCCCCUUAUGACCUGGGCUACACACGUGCUACAAUGGUUGGUACAACGAGUUGCGAGUCGGUGACGGCGAGCUAAUCUCUUAAAGCCAAUCUCAGUUCGGAUUGUAGGCUGCAACUCGCCUACAUGAAGUCGGAAUCGCUAGUAAUCGCGGAUCAGCACGCCGCGGUCGAAUACGUUCCGGGCCUU